UUAGAGUUUGAUCAUGGCUCAGGACAAACGCUGGCGGCGUGCUUAACACAUGCAAGUCGAACGGUCUCCCUUUGGGGAGAUAGUGGCGGACGGGUGAGUAACACGUAGUUGACCUGCCCAAUCGUGGGGAAUAACUGCCCGAAAGGGUAGCUAAUACCGCAUAAGCUCACAGGGGUUGCCCUGUGAGGAAACCCUGGUCUUCGGAUCUGGGGCGAAUGGAGGGGACUGCGGCGGAUUAGCUAGAUGGUGGGGUAACGGCCUACCAUGGCGACGAUCCGUAGCUGGUCUGAGAGGACGACCAGCCACACUGGGACUGAGACACGGCCCAGACUCCUACGGGAGGCAGCAGUGAGGAAUAUUCCACAAUGGGCGAAAGCCUGAUGGAGCGACGCCGCGUGAGGGAUGAAGCCUUUUGGGGUGUAAACCUCUUUUUUGGGGGAUGAAACGCACGGUGCAUAACCGGGCUAAGACAGUACCCCAAGAAUAAGCAUCGGCUAACUACGUGCCAGCAGCCGCGGUA
This 520-nucleotide ribosomal RNA is filed under the name uncultured bacterium. Its description in RNAcentral is "bacterial SSU rRNA". It matches the Rfam family "Bacterial small subunit ribosomal RNA", at positions 1 to 522 of the family's 1533-position model. The record is from RNAcentral.